GAUGCUCCGCAAUCAUGCUGCAAUGCUUUGAGCUGCUGUCAUCUUAGCCGUUCUUUCACUAGAGACUCCCAGCCCCAGAGCAAAGUCAGAGUGAGGAAAUGCGGCCCCACAUCUCAGCUGCUUCUGGGCAAACUCCGAGGUAUGUGCUGAAACCAAGGCCAUGGUGGUUUGCAGGCUGUCUAUGCACRGACGCUCAAAUAAACCCCAAUUCUGCAAGCACUUAACCAGCAAGCAUCGCAAACAGCAGUGAGGCCAUGCAGGAUCACGAGCAUAUGAGCGCCAGGUGACAGCAAGAUUUUGUUAUAGGCUGCUCUAGGCAUCCAGCACACCAGAGCCCUGACCCCUGACUGGACUUUCUGGGGAUGACUAUAAAAUGAACAGCGCAGAGCGCUCGGGACCCAGGCUUUCAAAUGGCAGGACUCCCCUUCGACGCGUACACUUCUGCGCAAGCAACAGUUUCGCUUGUGCAUGGGCAGGCAAGCAGGGGAGACAGGAAAGGCACUGGCUAAAAACAGUGCAGACUGAGGUCUGGCAGGGAAGGAGACCAGCGCAGACGGAUGGACAAAGACUCUGGACAGACCAAGCUUCCUGCAGGACUGAGUGGGUGGUGAUGGCCUUGUCCACGGAGAAGGAAUCUGAACUGCAGAGACUACUCAUAGUAAUGGUGAUUACUAUUAAAGCUCAGAGCUUUUCAUUACUGAAAACUUCAAAAAACUGUCCUGAACUAUAUUUGAGACAUGGUUUUUUCAUGUUAACUCGAGGUUUGAUUGCUGGAAAAGGUGGACUGCUAGAAAAAGAAAACCAGUGCGCUGCACAGCAGUUGGGAAUCGAAGCCCUUCUUUACCAGAACCCCUGCCAUAUACGUACUGUCACUCACCUUCCAGACACUCAGUACAACCAUUCAAUCUAUUGA
This 913-nucleotide long non-coding RNA is filed under the name Apteryx owenii (little spotted kiwi). RNAcentral's name for it is "lncRNA (ENSAOWG00000015087.1)". Lineage: Eukaryota; Metazoa; Chordata; Aves; Apterygiformes; Apterygidae. The record is from RNAcentral.